This 88-nucleotide transfer RNA is filed under the name Bacteroidales bacterium. RNAcentral describes it as "tRNA-Ser". It matches the Rfam family "tRNA". From Rfam's summary of the family: Transfer RNA (tRNA) molecules are approximately 80 nucleotides in length. Their secondary structure includes four short double-helical elements and three loops (D, anti-codon, and T loops). Further hydrogen bonds mediate the characteristic L-shaped molecular structure. tRNAs have two regions of fundamental functional importance: the anti-codon, which is responsible for specific mRNA codon recognition, and the 3' end, to which the tRNAs corresponding amino acid is attached (by aminoacyl-tRNA synthetases). tRNAs cope with the degeneracy of the genetic code in two manners: having more than one tRNA (with a specific anti-codon) for a particular amino acid; and 'wobble' base-pairing, i.e. permitting non-standard base-pairing at the 3rd anti-codon position. Lineage: Bacteria; Pseudomonadati; Bacteroidota; Bacteroidia; Bacteroidales. The record is from RNAcentral.
GGAGAGUUGUUCGAGUGGUUUAAGAAGCACGCCUGGAAAGUGUGUAUAGUCCAAAAGGCUAUCGGGAGUUCGAAUCUCCCACUCUCCG